This 416-nucleotide RNase P RNA is filed under the name Gammaproteobacteria bacterium. Its description in RNAcentral is "RNase P RNA component class A". It matches the Rfam family "Bacterial RNase P class A". Rfam says of the family: Ribonuclease P (RNase P) is a ubiquitous endoribonuclease, found in archaea, bacteria and eukarya as well as chloroplasts and mitochondria. Its best characterised activity is the generation of mature 5'-ends of tRNAs by cleaving the 5'-leader elements of precursor-tRNAs. Cellular RNase Ps are ribonucleoproteins. Lineage: Bacteria; Pseudomonadati; Pseudomonadota; Gammaproteobacteria. The record is from RNAcentral.
GGAGUUGACCAGACAAUCGCUGUCCGACCACUAAAGCGGAAUCUGGAAUGAUUCGUUUGGGUUACUGCGAAAACAGGAACGUUUCAGUGGUCGGAGGGAGGAAAGUCCGGGCUCCACAGGGCAGGGAGCCAGGUAACACCUGGGAGACGUGAGUCUACGGAAAGUGCAACAGAAAAUAUACCGCCGGUUCUCCGGUUUUCCGGGAACAGGUAAGGGUGCAAUGGUGCGGUAAGAGCGCACCGCACCUGUGGUAACACAGUGUGGCAGUGCAAACCCCUCCUGGAGCAAGACCAAAUAGGAAUCCCUUACUGUUGCCCGCAGUUGGAUUCGGGUAGGUCGCUGAAGAUACAUGGUGACAUGUAUCCUAGAUGAAUGAUUGUCCUUGACAGAACCCGGCUUACCGGUCGACUCCCUCU